This 1360-nucleotide ribosomal RNA is filed under the name Escherichia coli. Its description in RNAcentral is "partial 23S ribosomal RNA". It matches the Rfam family "Bacterial large subunit ribosomal RNA", at positions 381 to 1746 of the family's 2925-position model. The record is from RNAcentral. Lineage: Bacteria; Pseudomonadati; Pseudomonadota; Gammaproteobacteria; Enterobacterales; Enterobacteriaceae.
AAAAAUGCACAUGCUGUGAGCUCGAUGAGUAGGGCGGGACACGUGGUAUCCUGUCUGAAUAUGGGGGGACCAUCCUCCAAGGCUAAAUACUCCUGACUGACCGAUAGUGAACCAGUACCGUGAGGGAAAGGCGAAAAGAACCCCGGCGAGGGGAGUGAAAAAGAACCUGAAACCGUGUACGUACAAGCAGUGGGAGCACGCUUAGGCGUGUGACUGCGUACCUUUUGUAUAAUGGGUCAGCGACUUAUAUUCUGUAGCAAGGUUAACCGAAUAGGGGAGCCGAAGGGAAACCGAGUCUUAACUGGGCGUUAAGUUGCAGGGUAUAGACCCGAAACCCGGUGAUCUAGCCAUGGGCAGGUUGAAGGUUGGGUAACACUAACUGGAGGACCGAACCGACUAAUGUUGAAAAAUUAGCGGAUGACUUGUGGCUGGGGGUGAAAGGCCAAUCAAACCGGGAGAUAGCUGGUUCUCCCCGAAAGCUAUUUAGGUAGCGCCUCGUGAAUUCAUCUCCGGGGGUAGAGCACUGUUUCGGCAAGGGGGUCAUCCCGACUUACCAACCCGAUGCAAACUGCGAAUACCGGAGAAUGUUAUCACGGGAGACACACGGCGGGUGCUAACGUCCGUCGUGAAGAGGGAAACAACCCAGACCGCCAGCUAAGGUCCCAAAGUCAUGGUUAAGUGGGAAACGAUGUGGGAAGGCCCAGACAGCCAGGAUGUUGGCUUAGAAGCAGCCAUCAUUUAAAGAAAGCGUAAUAGCUCACUGGUCGAGUCGGCCUGCGCGGAAGAUGUAACGGGGCUAAACCAUGCACCGAAGCUGCGGCAGCGACGCUGAUGCGUUGUUGGGUAGGGGAGCGUUCUGUAAGCCUGCGAAGGUGUGCUGUGAGGCAUGCUGGAGGUAUCAGAAGUGCGAAUGCUGACAUAAGUAACGAUAAAGCGGGUGAAAAGCCCGCUCGCCGGAAGACCAAGGGUUCCUGUCCAACGUUAAUCGGGGCAGGGUGAGUCGACCCCUAAGGCGAGGCCGAAAGGCGUAGUCGAUGGGAAACAGGUUAAUAUUCCUGUACUUGGUGUUACUGCGAAGGGGGGACGGAGAAGGCUAUGUUGGCCGGGCGACGGUUGUCCCGGUUUAAGCGUGUAGGCUGGUUUUCCAGGCAAAUCCGGAAAAUCAAGGCUGAGGCGUGAUGACGAGGCACUACGGUGCUGAAGCAACAAAUGCCCUGCUUCCAGGAAAAGCCUCUAAGCAUCAGGUAACAUCAAAUCGUACCCCAAACCGACACAGGUGGUCAGGUAGAGAAUACCAAGGCGCUUGAGAGAACUCGGGUGAAGGAACUAGGCAAAAUGGUGCCGUAACUUCGGGAGAAGG